GAUGAACGCUGGCGGCGUGCCUAAUACAUGCAAGUCGAGCGAACAGACUAGUAGCUUGCUCCUCUGACGUUAGCGGCGGACGGGUGAGUAACACGUGGAUAACCUACCUAUAAGACUGGGAUAACUUCGGGAAACCGGAUCUAAUACCGGAUAAUAUAUUUAACCGCAUGGUUCAAUAGUGAAAUACGGUUUUGCUUUCACUUAUAGCUUGAUCCGCGCCGCAUUAGCUAGUUGGUAAGGUAACGGCUUACCAAGGCAACGAUGCGUAGCCGACCUGAGAGGGUGAACGGCCACACUGGAACUGAGACACGGUCCAGACUCCUACGGGAGGCAGCAGUAGGGAAUCUUCCGAAAUGGGCGAAAGCCUGAAGGAGCAACGCAGCGUGAGUGAUGAAGGGCUUCGGAUCGUAAAACUCUGUUAUUAGGGAAGAACAAAUGUGUAAGUAACUAUGCACGUCUUGACGGUACCUAAUCAGAAAGCAACGGCUAACUACGUG
RNAcentral lists this ribosomal RNA (497 nucleotides) under uncultured bacterium. RNAcentral's name for it is "partial 16S ribosomal RNA". It matches the Rfam family "Bacterial small subunit ribosomal RNA", at positions 28 to 507 of the family's 1533-position model. The record is from RNAcentral.